Molecule: transfer RNA, 69 nt
Filed under: Ictidomys tridecemlineatus (thirteen-lined ground squirrel)
Lineage: Eukaryota; Metazoa; Chordata; Mammalia; Rodentia; Sciuridae
Description: Spermophilus tridecemlineatus (thirteen-lined ground squirrel) tRNA
Rfam family: tRNA
About the family: Transfer RNA (tRNA) molecules are approximately 80 nucleotides in length. Their secondary structure includes four short double-helical elements and three loops (D, anti-codon, and T loops).
Source: Rfam by way of RNAcentral
GGGGUUGUGGCUCAGUGGCAGAGCACUUGCCUCACACGUAUGAGGCACUGGGUUCAAUCCUUAGCACCA